AUGGUCAAUGUACAUAUGUAUAUGAACACAUUUGUAUGUGUAUAUAUAUGUAUCUACUUCUUUCAAAAUGAGAAAAAUAGGAGAAAGCUGUGAUUUGGCUCUCUUAUUCGUCAAACACGCUUCGUUAGUCGACAUUGGUACUCACGGCGAAUUAAAAAAGAUCAAUGCUUCUCGUCCCUAUCAAAUACUUUGUGUGUGUGUGCGUGUUUGUACAUACGAGUGUUCGUUUACGAACCUUCAUACUUCGACUAUAAUAAGAAGGGUAAUUAACGAAUCGUAUUGGCUUAUCUUCUACAAUUAUUUCAUCUACAUACAUACAUAUAUAUAUAUACAUACAUAGAUAUAUAUAUACACAUAUACGUACACGUAUGUAAUAUUUACGUAUAUAGAUUUUAUGUACAAGUGCAUUCAACAUGGGUAGUAUGAGUCAGAGAAAAUUAUUUUAUAAAAGGAGAGAAGAUGCAAAAGAAAAAAUCGAUUUUACUCGGAUUAAAGUUGUUCAAUAUUAAAGGGCACUCUUCUACGAUUAUGAUUACUCGCAUGAUAUAUGUCAAUAAUUAUGAAAACUACAUUUAAAUGAAAAAUGUGAGAAAAAAUUGAAUUUAUCACUUAUUAUGAAUGUAUGCUACUGAUUUACAAUUAGACCAUUUUCAUAAUCACUGGCUCAUUUAUCUUUGAGAGAGAAAGAUUGAAGGAAAGAAAAUAUGGAAAAGUCACGUUUAAAUACUAACUCACAGUAUUACGAUAUCUCUUGAUGUAUAGUAAUGCGGUCACAUAUUCAGUUUGUUUAUUACGACUCGCGUGUCGACUUGUGCUCGCAGUAUACAUUACGAUAUGUAGCAAUAUAUGCGUAUGCAUGCAUCCAUGCUAAGUUGAACGCGUGUAAUAUGGAUCGGUUAAAUGCAGGCAUGUCAAACGCACGAUCCUGUAAAGUAUCCAGGCACAUCGAUUAAAUAGACAUUUUUCAAGAUACUACAAAGUAUUCAACAGAUGUGUUGCAGGUGAAUCAUGAAAGUAGGCUAUAUAACGUAUCUUUCUUUAUUUUUUUUUAUUUCAUAUAAUGAUUAGACUUUCUAAAUAAUUGGAAGGAUAUAAAAGGAAGUGGGUAAAAUAUAUUAUUAAUUCGUUUAAGCUACUUUCAUGAUCGUAAAAACGUGCAUUAAACUACACGUCUAAUUUCACAUCAAAUUUAUCUCUUUUACAUGAUAUACACGGUACAAUAAUUUAACAUAUAUUUCAUAAUUUCACUACAAUUGAUAAUGUGGAAAUUCGUCCUGGUUUUGACUUCAUGAAUCAAAGUAAGUUUGACGUGAUUGUAUUAAUCUAAUGAAAGAGGAAGAGCUAACGCUGAAAGUGACGAGUCAAUUAAAUCUCUGGCGAGGAUUUCAAUCGAUCCGAAGGAGCAUGAUGAUGACAUUGCGUGCAAACGAUACUUUGCUCCAAGAUAACACAUUGCGAGAAUAUUACGAAAAAACGUCAAGAAACAAUGAUGGCAAUGAUAUAUGAAUUUCUAAAUGGAAUUUGGCCUUGACAGAACGAUAUGUGCUCUUUAGAAUUGCCCGGAAGAAGACGAGACUUUGGAUACCCAAUUUGCCCCAAUAACGAUGCGUUGAAGUAUUUUAUGAGACAGAGAAAGAGAAAGAAGGAUAGAUAGAUAGAGAGAAAGAGAGAGAAAGAGAGAGAAAGAAAAGAAAAAAGAAAGUUGAGACGGAAUUGACACGAACACUAUGAGAUAAGGGGAAGAGAGAGAGAGAGAGAGAGAGAGUUAAGACGCAUCAUAUAUAAAACGACCGCGAAAUAUGAAAACGAAAGUAGAAUGGCUCUCUGAAACAUUGAAGACUGCAAUAAUAAUUACUCUGGCCUAUUAAAAUACGAUAUGAAUACGUUGCUCGAUAAGCGCAACGUUAUAUAGAUGAUGAUCACAGUGAAUCCGUUAAUAGUAAGUGUGCCUGUUUCAAUGCGUGCGUGCAAAUGUCUUUGAUCGUGUCCGCCGUAGCUCGUGACGAGACAGACGCCAUCAUGUACGAAAUAAAUAUGGCGCCGUAUGCAAAAGACGUAACGAAUUUCAAAUCGCGUGUACGUACACGUUACGGCGGACGAGCAUCUAAAGAGUAUAAUGUCUUGUUAAAAAAAGGGGGGAAAAAAAGAAAUACUAUUUACCCGUAUUGUAUUCUGGUUAUCUCUAAUUACGAUCAGUAAAAAUUAUUCUAAAGAAGA
Long non-coding RNA from Vespa velutina, 2217 nucleotides. RefSeq lists it as uncharacterized. NCBI's taxonomy places the organism in Eukaryota, Metazoa, Arthropoda, Insecta, Hymenoptera, Vespidae. The transcript has 2 exons. The record is from RefSeq and is a predicted model, not a curated record.